This 507-nucleotide ribosomal RNA is filed under the name uncultured bacterium. RNAcentral describes it as "bacterial SSU rRNA". It matches the Rfam family "Bacterial small subunit ribosomal RNA", at positions 19 to 518 of the family's 1533-position model. The record is from RNAcentral.
AUGGCUCAGGAUGAACGCUAGCUACAGGCUCAACACGUGCAAGUCGAGGGGCAGCAUCAGGUUAGCUUGCUAACCUGGAUGGCGACCGGCGCACGGGUGAGUAACGCGUAUCCAACUUCCCCCUGCUCAGGGAUAGCCCGGUGAAAACCGGAUUAAGACCUGAUAGUUUCACUAGAUGGCAUCUGACGGUGAAUAAAGGUUUCGGCAAGGGAUGGGGAUGCGUCUGAUUAGCUUGUUGGCGGGGUAACGGCCCACCAAGGCAACGAUCAGUAGGGGUUCUGAGAGGAAGGUCCCCCACAUUGGAACUGAGACACGGUCCAAACUCCUACGGGAGGCAGCAGUGAGGAAUAUUGGUCAAUGGGCGGAAGCCUGAACCAGCCAAGUAGCGUGCAGGAUGACGGCCCUAUGGGUUGUAAACUGCUUUUGUGCGGGAAUAAAGUCAGGGACGCGUCCCUGUUUGCAUGUACCGCAAGAAUAAGGACCGGCUAAUUCCGUGCCAGCCGCCGC